GAUGAACGCUGGCGGCGUGCCUAAUACAUGCAAGUCGAGCGACCAGACGAGGAGCUUGCUCCUCUGACGUUAGCGGCGGACGGGUGAGUAACACGUAGAUAACCUACCUAUAUGACUGGGAUAACUUCGUGAAACCGGAGCUACUACCGGCUCAUAUAUUCAACCGCAUGGUUCAAUAGUUCUCGACGGUUUUGCUGUCACUUUUAGAUGGAUUCGCGUCGCAUUAGCUAGUUGGUAAGGUAACGGCUUACCAAGGCGACGAUGCGUAGCCGACCUGAGAGGGUGAACGGCCAAACUGGAAAUGAGAAACGGUCCAGAAUCCUAAGGGAGGCAGGAGGAGGGAAACUUCCGAAAAGGGCGAAAGCCUGAAGGAGCAAAGCCGCGUGAGUGAUGAAGGUCUUCGGAUCGUAAAACUCUGUUAGUAGGGAAGAAAAAAUGGGUAAGUAACAAUGCACGUCUUGAAGGUACCUAAUCAGAAAGGCACGGCUAAAUACGUG
Molecule: ribosomal RNA, 497 nt
Filed under: uncultured bacterium
Lineage: Bacteria
Description: partial 16S ribosomal RNA
Rfam family: Bacterial small subunit ribosomal RNA
Source: RNAcentral